GGGGUUGUGGCUCAGCGGUAGAGCGCUUGCCUAGCAUGUAUGAGGCCCUGGGUUUGAUCCUCAGCACCACA
RNAcentral lists this transfer RNA (71 nucleotides) under Marmota monax (woodchuck). RNAcentral's name for it is "tRNA.Ala". It matches the Rfam family "tRNA". From Rfam's summary of the family: Transfer RNA (tRNA) molecules are approximately 80 nucleotides in length. Their secondary structure includes four short double-helical elements and three loops (D, anti-codon, and T loops). The record is from RNAcentral. Lineage: Eukaryota; Metazoa; Chordata; Mammalia; Rodentia; Sciuridae.